CAUAUCCUUUAGUUAAAAAUUUAAGGUGUAACCUGCCCAGUGAUUUUUAAAUGGCCGCGGUAUUUUGACCGUGCAAAGGUAGCAUAAUAAUUAGUUUCUUAAUUAGAAACUGGAAUGAAUGGUUGGACGAGAAAAUUUCUGUCUUUUUUUUAUUUUGUUUAAAAUUUAAUUUUUGAGUUAAAAAGCUUAAAUUAUUUAAUAAGACGAGAAGACCCUAUAGAGUUUAAUAUUAUAUUGGAUUUAGAAUUUUAGGAUUUAUUUAUAAGUUUAAGAUUAAUAUUUUAUUGGGGUGAUAGAAAGAUUUAAGAAACUCUUUUUAAUAUUUUACACUAAUGUGUGGGUAUUUGAUCCAUAAUAAUGAUUAUAAGAUUAAAUUACCUUAGGGAUAACAGCGUUAUUUUUUUGAAGAGUUCUAAUCGAUAAAAGAAAUUGCGACCUCGAUGUUGGAUUAAAGUUUAAUUUUGGCGCAAAAGCUAAAAUUUUAGGUCUGUUCGACCUUUAAAACUUUACAUGAUCUGAGU
RNAcentral lists this ribosomal RNA (521 nucleotides) under Sostea sp. UPOL RK0682. Its description in RNAcentral is "partial 16S ribosomal RNA". It matches the Rfam family "Bacterial large subunit ribosomal RNA", at positions 1814 to 2610 of the family's 2925-position model. The record is from RNAcentral. Lineage: Eukaryota; Metazoa; Arthropoda; Insecta; Coleoptera; Dryopidae.